CGCGGAGUCGAGUAGUGGUCUAGCUCGCGGGUCUCAUAAGCCCGACCUCCCAUAAGGAGGGCAUCGGUUCGAAUCCGAUCUCCGCAA
Molecule: transfer RNA, 87 nt
Filed under: Nitrosarchaeum sp.
Lineage: Archaea; Thermoproteati; Nitrososphaerota; Nitrososphaeria; Nitrosopumilales; Nitrosopumilaceae
Description: tRNA-Met
Rfam family: tRNA
About the family: Transfer RNA (tRNA) molecules are approximately 80 nucleotides in length.
Source: RNAcentral